GCCGGCGUACCCCAACUGGCAGAGGGACCGGUUUUAGGUACCGGACAGUGAGGGUUCGAGUCCCUCCGCCGGCA
RNAcentral lists this transfer RNA (74 nucleotides) under Acidimicrobiales bacterium. RNAcentral describes it as "tRNA-Leu". It matches the Rfam family "tRNA". From Rfam's summary of the family: Transfer RNA (tRNA) molecules are approximately 80 nucleotides in length. Their secondary structure includes four short double-helical elements and three loops (D, anti-codon, and T loops). Lineage: Bacteria; Bacillati; Actinomycetota; Acidimicrobiia; Acidimicrobiales. The record is from RNAcentral.